GGAGUUAGCUCUGCGGCGGGCACAUCGCCCUACUCCUCAAUAAUGGGAUCUUCUACUAGAUCCGCUGGUGGUGCAACUAGGGCAACUCUAGGAUGUCCUCGUCCCAUACCUCAGGCCAGUGCCCUCCCCCGGCCUCUAGCAAUGGGGGGAGCAACUCCUUCCAGGUUCAAAAUGUCUGUUGCGCGUGUUCUCAUCAUCUAUGAGAGAAUAAGAGAAAGAACUUAGUAUACUAUCUGUCACACCUCCUUUUUAUCUACACUCCCGAAGAGGGUGUAUAAGGGAGUUUUUUCCAACUUAAAGUGACAACCGAAACGGGAUAAUUUUUAUUAAAAAAUCAGAGUCGCCACUUGGGAUAAUUUAUAGUGUCCCAAUUCACCGGUUCAAAUCCCGAAUCCAGGAAAAGAUUGACUCUGUAUUACAGUUCGCGAACCAGAAAUCCGAGUAAGGAAUUCUGUUAACCCGGGAGAAAGUGUUAGGCAUUCCUGAGUUCCGUGGUUCUAGCACGGUCGUCAACUGUUAUAAAUGGCCUAUUAUCUAAUUUUAAAACACUUUUAAACCCAUGUGCAUUUUUAACUUUUGAAAACCGCUUUUACUCAAUUUUUAAAGAGGAUUGAACGUAGUUUAAAAUACGUCUUUGGAUCGCGCCAUACGAAAUGCACCCGCAAUCCUAAACAUAAUUUAUUCAACGUCUUAAAAUUUGAUUUGGGUCACAUGAAAUGCACACCCGAGUUUAGGAAAGUAAUUUUAUAGCGCGCCUAAAGCAACUACGCACUUUCAAGUUUGCGGGGGCCAUGAAAAAUUCAACUAAAUGGCACACCUCAAUUUCUAAAGGAUUAAAAUUAAUUAAGUGAGGGCCAUGCAUUUUGAGAUUUUAUUUGGCACGACGCACCUUAAAUGACUCAGAAAAGAUUUGCUAAUUGUAUACAACCCUUGGGGUAAAUGUGUUACACCUUUAAUUUUCGAUAAGGAUCAAAUUACCCAUAUUGUAUAUUCACUGUCAACUUCCACAAAACAAAAAAAGAAAAAUUGAAUUCCAAACAGGAUAGUCAGGGCAACGGGAAUUAUAACAAAGGAGAAGAACUUCAUUUAUACACCUCUAACAUACAUCAAAAAUAUCAUGCCUUCAGUAUACAAUUAUAUAUAAAAGAGUUCUCAAUCUUGAAAAGGGUCACUCUAAAUCAAAAUUAUUAAAAAAAAUUAAUAGCAACAACCUACAUUUAAUUCUUAUAAAAUUAGACAGAAUCAAAGCAAACAACUUCUUUCUUAUUAAGUAUCAAAGAAACCAUCUUUUCAAUUCCCGUGUAUCAAAUUUCCAUCCUUGAACUGUUUCUUGAUAUCUAAUUAAAGAUUUCACAACAUACUCACACAAGCUAACAUAUACUCCAAGAAAUACAAACCCACAUCCAAUUGUUUUCAUUUUACCACAAUACAAAAUCACAAAAAAAAACACAAAUAAAUAAAUAACCUGGAAUCUCGAAGCAAGCAAAACUCAGCAGAGACAAGAGUUAUCCCAUUGACGAUUGACAAAACCACUCGUUGUUUACAAGCUUAUUCAUGAAAGGGAUCUUUUCACGAAUAUGUAGAGACCAUUCUAAUUUUGUGGCAAAGAGCUUUGGAAUUUCGCCAAAAAUCAGAAGAAUGGAGAGAGAGCGUGGUUGUUGACUUGCUAUUUGAGAGGGAAUCGAUCAGAAGGAGGUGGGGCGUUGGUUGGUUUAAGGUGAAGACCAUGGAAUUUAUGCUCUUCUUCUGUGAAGAAGAAGAAAAUCGACAAGGGGGAGGGGAGUU
RNAcentral lists this long non-coding RNA (1785 nucleotides) under Nicotiana tabacum (common tobacco). Its description in RNAcentral is "long non-coding RNA (NTAB_LNC002817)". Lineage: Eukaryota; Viridiplantae; Streptophyta; Magnoliopsida; Solanales; Solanaceae. The record is from RNAcentral.